GGCGUUUGCGUGGAAAACACGUACCUGCUGUGAGGUGAAGUGUAAUUGUAUCAAUAUGUUCCUUCUGAACCUGUGCGUUGAAUAUGGUCCAUGUGACCUGUGAACAGUUGGUCUGUGCCUAGCAGCCUCUAUGAUAUGCCUAGUUCUCCCUAUUGUCUGUAGCACGUUGAGUGCGGCCAUCUGUGUGUUUAUGAAUGUAUGUUUUUUUAUUGUAUAGACCUGUUUCGGGGUUGAUCUGAAAGAAUCCCCAGGUAAAUAAAUAAGAAUAUAUUUUUAUAUACAAGCCACCAUCUCCUGCACCCUUCUUCCCAACACCACCCAGUCCAGUCGCAACCUCCCAAAACAACGUGGGGUGACCGCCCGGUCCCUCACAGGAGCCCAUUAUGAACUCUGGCCUGGCUGCCGCUUUGCUACUCUGUAAGAAUAAAGGUGAGCUGAGUGGCUGCUGAGCCACAGGUGUGUGUGUGAAUGGGUAGAUGUGUGUGUGGAUGGGUAGAUGUGUGCUGAGCCACAGGUGUGUGUGUGAAUGGGUAGAUGUGUGUGUGGAUGGGUAGAUGUGUGCUGAGCCACGUGUGUGUGUGUGAAUGGGUAGAUGUGUGUGUGGAUGGGUAGAUGUGUGCUGAGCCACAGGUGUGUGUGUGUGAAUGGGUAGAUGUGUGUGUGGAUGGGUAGAUGUGUGCUGAGCCACGUGUCUGUGUGGAUGGGUAGAUGUGUGCUGAGCCACAGGUGUGUGUGUGCGGCACACUAGACAUGCACCAACACAAGUUAUUUACAUAAGGAAUUACAAUACAGCACAAUACAGAGCUGUCUGGCUGCUAGCUCUCCCUAAACACAAGCUUCUCUGAUCUAUAUGGCUUAUACUUAUGUGUGUUUGAGUCAUGAAAUCUUGUGAGAAUGCCUUUUGUUAUGUCUGUAGGUGAUGUGUUUGUGUUGUGUGUGUGUGUGUGAUUGUGUGAGUGAUGUGAUUGUGUUGUGUGUGUGUGACUGACGGGUUUGUGUUGUGUCUGUAUGUGAUGUGUUUGUGUUGUGUCUGUGAGUGAUGUCAUAUCUUACAAUUCCUUAUGUAAAUAACUUGUGUUGGUGACGUGAAAGUG
This is a long non-coding RNA of Clupea harengus (Atlantic herring), 1094 nucleotides long. The record is from Ensembl. NCBI's taxonomy places the organism in Eukaryota, Metazoa, Chordata, Actinopteri, Clupeiformes, Clupeidae.